RNAcentral lists this ribosomal RNA (441 nucleotides) under uncultured bacterium. Its description in RNAcentral is "partial 16S ribosomal RNA". It matches the Rfam family "Bacterial small subunit ribosomal RNA", at positions 338 to 795 of the family's 1533-position model. The record is from RNAcentral.
CCUACGGGAGGCAGCAGUGGGGAAUAUUGCACAAUGGGGGAAACCCUGAUGCAGCAACGCCGCGUGAAGGAAGACGGUUUUCGGAUUGUAAACUUCUGUUCUUAGUGAAGAAUAAUGACGGUAGCUAAGGAGCAAGCCACGGCUAACUACGUGCUAGCAGCCGCGGUAAUAUGUAGGUGGCAAGCGGUGUCCGGAAUUACUGGGUGUAAAGGGAGCGCAGGCGGGAAGCCAAGUCAGCUGUGAAAACUACAGGCUUAACUUAUAGACUGCAGUUGAAACUGGUUUUCUAGAGUACAGGAGAGGAUAGCGGAAUUCCGAGUGUAGCGGUGAAAUGCGUAGAUAUUAGGAGGAACACCAGUGGCGAAGGCGGCCAUCUGGACUGAAACUGACGCUGAGGCUCGAAAGUGUGGGGAGCGAACAGGAUUAGAUACCCCGGUAGUC